CCUACGGGGGGCAGCAGUGAGGAAUAUUGGUCAAUGGGCGAGAGCCUGAACCAGCCAAGUCGCGUGAAGGAUGAAGGAUCUAUGGUUUGUAAACUUCUUUUAUAUGGGAAUAAAGUGAGGCACGUGUUCCUUUUUGUAUGUACCAUAUGAAUAAGCAUCGGCUAACUCCGUGCCAGCAGCCGCGGUAAUACGGAGGAUGCGAGCGUUAUCCGGAUUUAUUGGGUUUAAAGGGUGCGUGGGUGGUUAAUUAAGUCAGCGGUGAAAGUUUGGGGUUCAACCUAAAAUUGCCGUUGAAACUGGUGGACUUGAGUAUAUUUGAGGUAGGCGGAAUGCGUGGUGUAGCGGUGAAAUGCAUAGAUAUCACGCAGAACUCCGAUUGCGAAGGCAGCUUACUAAACUAUAACUGACACUGAAGCACGAAAGCGUGGGGAUCAAACAGGAUUAGAUACCCGGGUAGUC
RNAcentral lists this ribosomal RNA (459 nucleotides) under uncultured bacterium. RNAcentral describes it as "partial 16S ribosomal RNA". It matches the Rfam family "Bacterial small subunit ribosomal RNA", at positions 338 to 795 of the family's 1533-position model. The record is from RNAcentral.